GCCUCCCUAGUAUAAAAGUACAAACGGCUUCCAACCGUUUAGCCCCAGGCAGCCCUGGGGGAAGGCA
This 67-nucleotide transfer RNA is filed under the name Hemidactylus ulii. RNAcentral's name for it is "tRNA-Gly". The record is from RNAcentral. Lineage: Eukaryota; Metazoa; Chordata; Lepidosauria; Squamata; Gekkonidae.